GAACUCCGACUCCCUUUCAUAUCGUAGAAAUCUUUCGCCUUUUACUAAGGAUUUCGUGGAGGGGAGCACUCAAAGGAGUCUAGAAAUUUAAUUUUUUCAAUUGUCUGACCUUUCUGAUCGGGCU
This is a small nuclear RNA of Metopolophium dirhodum (rose-grain aphid), 124 nucleotides long. RefSeq annotates it as U5 spliceosomal RNA. The transcript has a single exon. The record is from RefSeq and is a predicted model, not a curated record. Lineage: Eukaryota; Metazoa; Arthropoda; Insecta; Hemiptera; Aphididae.